Molecule: ribosomal RNA, 440 nt
Filed under: uncultured bacterium
Lineage: Bacteria
Description: partial 16S ribosomal RNA
Rfam family: Bacterial small subunit ribosomal RNA
Source: RNAcentral
CUACGGGGUGCAGCAGUAGGGAAUAUUGGACAAUGGGCGAAAGCCUGAUCCAGCAACACCGCGUGCACGAUGACGGCCUUCGGGUUGUAAAGUGCUUUUAGAGGAGAUGAGAAAGGACAGUAUCCUCUGAAUAAGCCUCGGCGAACUACGUGCCAGCAGCCGCGGUAAAACGUAGGAGGCAAGCGUUAUCCGGAUUUAUUGGGCGUAAAGCGCGUGCAGGCGGUCUAGCAAGUUGGAUGUGAAAGCUCCCGGCUCAACUGGGAGAGGUCGUUGAAUACUGUUAGACUAGAGAAUAGGAGAGGGAGGUGGAAUUACGGGUGUAGUGGUGAAAUGCGUAGAUAUCCGGAGGAACACCAGUGGCGAAAGCGGCCUCCUGGACUAUUUCUGACGCUAAGACGCGAAAGCUAGGGUAGCAAACGGGAUUAGAUACCCUAGUAGUC